AUCUUGGUGUUUAACAUAUCCUUUUUGAAUUUUUUUUUUUAAGUAGUUAUUAUGACUUAUUAAAUGGUAAAAGUUGGAUAUAUGAGAACAGAAGAUUAUUCACAAUAGAAGUUAAGGUGGUGGAAAAAGUUAAAACAAAAAGCAAGCCCCACCAUACCUGGAUUGUUGAUUUCAUUUACACUGGAUACUUACAUCAAUGUUUGCUUUUGUCCGAUUUAUCUUAUACUUUUGUUACAAUGAUGGAAGGAUUGAUAGGGUUAAUAGACUUGACUAGCCUCUCACUUAAACUGAGGUUGUCUCUGUGGGGUUCAGAUAAUAUAACCCUAAUCACGUGAUGUGAAACUAGUGAGAUGAGAAAUCUUUCACUUUGGGGAGAAUGAUUUAUUUGUGUCCCAGUACUUCGGCACCUCAGUUCUCUCUUCUAGAGCUGAAGUUGCAUCUUGUUUGGGCCCAGCCCCCAGAAAUAGGAAUCCAAGCAGGAAGUCUGGGAGCUCUUGUUCCAGGCCUUGUGCUUGUUCCCCUUCCUGAAUUUGCAGCAAAGUGUCUAGUGCCUCUUUUAGUUCUGCUCUUAGUGAUCAAAAUAAGUUAUUUCAUCAGGUAUUUUCUUUUACCACACAAGUCCUUCAUUCUGUCUUUAUGGAUUUUAUCCGUAUCCAUCCUUUAUGCAAAAUUAUAUUAAUGCAGUAUGCUUGUCCUUGAGAAAGUAUGUUGCAGUAUGUUUACAGACUGUGGGCAUUGCACAUGUUUUUAAAUACAGACUAGAUUUUCCCCGUUUUUAAUUUCAAGGCAAAUACACGUAAUGACACCAGGGGAAAUGUCAGCUGUUCUUCAGGUUUUCCCAUCAACUAUGAUUCAUUUUCAUCCUGUCUGCCUCCAUUUUAUUCAUGUUCCAGGUAAUGAGUAUUUCAGGAGUUCAAAGCAGGCUUCUAAUACAUCUGAACUGGGAACUGAAGGACUGCUACUCUUUGGCAACUCUUUCUGCAUAAGAUGCAGCUGUGCUGAAGCUGAGAGCCUUCCACCUUCACAGAUCUGGAAUCUCAAAGGUUGCGUUGUUCCAAGACUAAGAAAGGCCUCAGUGAAUAAAAGCAUGCUAGAAGUAAAUUGUCUCACCUGGUUUGUCGUGGAAUUCAAGAGUGCGUGGACAAUCCAGUCUAAGCAAGAGACAACAGCUGCUGUGAGACCCAUGGAAAGGAGGCACAAAGGAACAAGGGACUGGCAGUGAGUGAGCAGUGGCACUGGUCCUGAGACCGCCAGCGCAACCUCCAUUUCUCACUGCUGAAAACAGACUGAGCUUUCCAGGAACUCUCCCUUGUGGACCUUUCUAGUGAGCAUCCCG
This is a long non-coding RNA of Anser brachyrhynchus (Pink-footed goose), 1336 nucleotides long. Lineage: Eukaryota; Metazoa; Chordata; Aves; Anseriformes; Anatidae. The record is from Ensembl.